AUUGAACGCUGGCGGCAUGCCUUACACAUGCAAGUCGAACGGUAACGGGCCUUCGGGCGCCGACGAGUGGCGAACGGGUGAGUAAUACAUCGGAACGUGCCCGAUCGUGGGGGAUAACGAGGCGAAAGCUUUGCUAAUACCGCAUACGAUCUACGGAUGAAAGCAGGGGACCGCAAGGCCUUGCGCGGACGGAGCGGCCGAUGGCAGAUUAGGUAGUUGGUGGGAUAAAAGCUUACCAAGCCGACGAUCUGUAGCUGGUCUGAGAGGAUGAUCAGCCACAUUGGGACUGAGACACGGCCCAGACUCCUACGGGAGGCAGCAGUGGGGAAUUUUGGACAAUGGGCGCAAGCCUGAUCCAGCCAUGCCGCGUGCAGGAUGAAGGCCUUCGGGUUGUAAACUGCUUUUGUACGGAACGAAAAGCCUUCUUUUAAUACAGGAGGGUCAUGACGGUACCGUAAGAAUAAGCACCGGCUAACUACGUG
This 482-nucleotide ribosomal RNA is filed under the name uncultured bacterium. Its description in RNAcentral is "partial 16S ribosomal RNA". It matches the Rfam family "Bacterial small subunit ribosomal RNA", at positions 30 to 507 of the family's 1533-position model. The record is from RNAcentral.